UUCGGAUGCUGACGAGUGGCGAACGGGUGAGUAAUACAUCGGAACGUGCCCGAGAGUGGGGGAUAACGAGGCGAAAGCUUUGCUAAUACCGCAUACGAUCUACGGAUGAAAGCAGGGGACCGCAAGGCCUUGCGCUCAUGGAGCGGCCGAUGGCAGAUUAGGUAGUUGGUGGGAUAAAAGCUUACCAAGCCGACGAUCUGUAGCUGGUCUGAGAGGAUGAUCAGCCACACUGGGACUGAGACACGGCCCAGACUCCUACGGGAGGCAGCAGUGGGGAAUUUUGGACAAUGGGCGAAAGCCUGAUCCAGCCAUGCCGCGUGCAGGAUGAAGGCCUUCGGGUUGUAAACUGCUUUUGUACGGAACGAAAAGACUCUUUCUAAUAAAGAGGGUCCAUGACGGUACCGUAAGAAUAAGCACCGGCUAACUACGUGCCAGCAGCCGCGGUAAUACGUAGGGUGCAAGCGUUAAUCGGAAUUACUGGGCGUAAAGCGUGCGCAGGCGGUUAUGUAAGACAGAUGUGAAAUCCCCGGGCUCAACCUGGGAACUGCAUUUGUGACUGCAUAGCUAGAG
This 570-nucleotide ribosomal RNA is filed under the name bacterium RBM-D12. RNAcentral's name for it is "bacterial SSU rRNA". It matches the Rfam family "Bacterial small subunit ribosomal RNA", at positions 79 to 646 of the family's 1533-position model. The record is from RNAcentral.